CACGUAGGUCGCGAGCGUUAUCCGGAUUUACUGGGCGUAAAGCGCUUGUAGGCGGUUCUGUAAGUCGGGCGUGAAAUCUCUGGGCUUAACCCAGAGUGGCCGUUCGAUACUGCAGGGCUUGAGGAUGCUAGAGGGUGGUGGAAUUCCAGGUGUAGUGGUGAAAUGCGUAGAUAUCUGGAGGAACAUCCGUGGCGAAGGCGGCCACCUGGGGCAUUCCUGACGCUGAGAAGCGACAGCUAGGGGAUCAAACGGG
RNAcentral lists this ribosomal RNA (253 nucleotides) under uncultured bacterium. RNAcentral's name for it is "partial 16S ribosomal RNA". It matches the Rfam family "Bacterial small subunit ribosomal RNA", at positions 524 to 776 of the family's 1533-position model. The record is from RNAcentral.